Molecule: long non-coding RNA, 6999 nt
Filed under: Marmota monax (woodchuck)
Lineage: Eukaryota; Metazoa; Chordata; Mammalia; Rodentia; Sciuridae
Source: RNAcentral
GGGAAGGCCUAGUACCUCAGGGGGUCCCUGUCCCUGCCAGGUCCCCAGACCCAGCUCAGGCCCUCUGUUCUGUGCUUGCACCGGCUGGGCACUCCAUGCAGCCCGGGAAUGACUUUAGAGUGGCCUGGCCACAUGUGGGGACUGGCUGCACAGUGCCUCAGUGUUUACCCAGGACUCAGCCCCGCCACCCUCAGGGCUGCAACUCUCAGGCCUCCUCCUGAGCAAACGGAAGGGAGCAGAGGCUCUGCUGGGCCAGGCCCAGGCCCUCCCUGCCCAGCCCAGCCCCCUGUGGGCUGUGGGGAACAGGCAGAGACCAUCUUCCUGGACAGUGGCCCAGGAGGAUGUGGCAGGGGGCAGCAGCCGGGCAGCUGAGGCCAGGGCAGCCUGGGAAGUCCGUGCUGGAGCUGUUGUUUGUACCGCGGGCCCUGGGCCACCCCACCCACUCAGGCGGCUUGGCCUCCAGGCCCCUCUCCAGGGGCUGUGUUUCCCAUAACUCUGCUCCCCGGUCAUGAACCUCGGGGCAGGAAGGCCCUCAGAGACCAGCUCCCACUCCACAGUGGACAGAAGAAGCCCAGGCCCAGGGAGCGAACAGGCCUAAGGCCAGCUGGUGAGUGGCUGGGUCAGGAGGGGGCCCUGGAAACCCUGGUUAAUCCCUCCUUCCCCAUGCAGUCCAUGAACUUGACCAUGGACCCUGUGUCCACUGGUUCAUCCCUCCCACUGGGAGCUCCAGCAGACGGAGAAGGGCCUUUGUUCUAUUCCUAGUGUUGGGCAGAGGACCUGGCAAAGGAGCAGGUGAAUGGAGCUCCUACUCCAGUCCUGUGGCCUUCUAAUGCUCCUGUCCCCACCCCUUCGUGCCCUGAGUGUUUGGGGAGGUCAGAAAAGGCAUGAUUUUCUUUGAGUCUCCUGGGCCUUCAGGCAGGACAGCAUGGUCUCCUGGUCUCAUGAUCUCAGAAAAGAGCUUGGGAAUAAUGGGACCUGCCCAGAAGAGGAGAGAGGGGAGGUCCUCAGAGCUAAAACUGGAAUUUGAUCUAGGAUGACCAUUUUGCCCGAAAAGAAGGAUUCCUGGUGUAGGGACCUUUGGUGCUAAAGGAAGUACCCAGGCUGGGGAUGUGGCUCAGUAACAGAGCCCUUGUCUAGCAUGUAGAAGGCCCUGGGUUCCAUCCCCCAGCAUCACAGAAACAAAACUAAAAACAAGAGGUGGGCUGAGGCUGGGCACAGUGGCAAAGCCCUGUAAUCCCAGUGGCUUGGGAGGCUGAGGCAGGGGGAUCACAAGUUCAAAGCCAGCCUCAGCAAAAAAGUGAGGCACUAAGCCACUCAGUGAGACCCUGUCUCUAAAUAAAAUACAAAAUAGGGCUGGGGAUGUGGCUCAGUGGUCGAUGGCCCCUGAGUUCAAUUUAAAAAAAAAGAGGUGGGCUGGGAGUGAGCUCAGCUAGAGUGUUUGCCUAGCCUGUGGGAGGCUCUGGGUUCCUUCUGCAGCCCUGGAAAAAAAAAAAAAAAGAGGCAGAGGUGCUGGCUCCACCUCCUAUUGUGUAACUGUGGAUAAGCUGCUUCUCUCCUGACACCUCAAAGGCUUAUCUGGAAAAGAGUCAAUAUCUACCCUCUGACCCUCCUGGUUGCCAUGAAGUUCUGGGAAGCUAUGGAGGAAAAGUCAGAAUGUGCUAUGUCCCAGGAGAUGUGAGGGCUGGUGGCCAUCCCAGUGAAGGACUUCCUCUUACCCCCCACUCCCACUUCCUGCGAUUCAUUGACUCACCGGCAGACACUGGCUCAGCACCUAGGAUAUGGGGGAAAUGGGAAAUGCUGGGUUGGAAAAGGAAGAGCUCAGCCCUCCUGGAAUUCACAGCACAGGCACGGGCGAUUAGAGUACAGUAAGAAGAAUCUGUUCAGCACAAGUUUUUCAUGAGCAGCUACUAUAUGCCAAACACUUGACUGAAGUAUUUUACAAACAUUAACUCGUUCGAUAUUCAUACAGCCUGUGUACUGAGCUGAGGGUUGACAUUUAUCCUGAAGGUGGCUGACAGGGUGUAGUGGAGGUAGCAGAGGGGCAGUUGGACAGCCCUGGGUUUUUAUGGAUCGAGGCUGUAAGGAGAGCUGGGAGGAGAGAGGAGGCAAGGGAACCUGGUAGCUGCCUCCUGAUGGAUUCCUCUUAUGAUUUAAGUCUUGCCAGGCCAAGAGGGGUCCAGUUAACCCACACUUCUGAUGGAUCAAGGUUCAUGUUUAGCGAGGACCUGGGCACAGCCCGAGGUUGGGGACUUCAAAAGUGCCAGUUAUAAAAAGGCGCCCUUGAAGGGAAGACUCGGUUGGAGCUGGCUCACCACCCGACCGACCCUGAAGCUAGGUAACUGAGUGCUCCAAAGGCCCUUCAAGCCCCGCUACUCCAGCUACCUAGCGAGGACCUGCGGCCAGGGAUAGAGUGAGCGGCAGACACGCGCACAGUCGCCAGGCGAGUAGGUGUCCUAGCCGGGCCUGCGGAAGGCCAGGCCGGAUUUCUGCAAGUUGAGUCCUUGUAGGGCGGGGCCCGAAGCGGGUCUCAGUUUGGGCAGGGGCGGUCCGGAGAAGCCCGGCCUAGCGGAGAAGUCUGUCCCGGAGGUGGGGCGGGGCCGUCAGGGUGGGGCGCCCCGCCCCGGCCCCGCCCCCGCUCCGCGCCUGCCCAUAUAAGGCGAGCGCCGCGCCGAGCGCCCCUGGCGAGCUGCUGUCGUCACGUGUGCCUUCCCGACGGCCCGGGGCACCUUUCCAGGGCCGCCCCGCACCCGCCUUCCUGCCGGGAAGUGCUGCCCCGCCCGCCGCCCGCUGGGUCCCCGCGCACCUGCGUCCGUCACAUCCCAGCGCGGGAAUCAGGCCCGCGCAGUGGGCUGGGUGGGCUUGUCGGACCAGAAAGUGGGGAUCUGGGGUACCCAAACCUGGGGUGGCCGCUGGGUGGGAACACGAGCCUCUGAGGACGGCCGACCUGCCGGACGCCUGCCAAGUGCUGGGCAUUGAACUCGCCUUGUAAAAAAAGAAUCUGCUGGAGCAGAAGGAUCGCGAGUUCAAAGCCAGCCUCUGCAACAGCGCGGCGCUGAGCAGCUCAGGGAGACCCUGUCUCCAAAUAAACUACAAAAUAACGGGAGGAGGCUCAGGGGUCGGUUCCUGAGUUCAAUGCCCGGUCCGAAAAAGAAUCUGCGUGUUCCAAGCCGCGUAGUGAGGCCAGCUCUGGAGCGGUGUGGCCGGGUCUGACUCCCUGCGUUGCUUGAGGCUUUGUGAGCAACUAGUGCAGAUUCUCUGUGCUUCAGUUUCCUCACCUGUAAAAGGGGGUCUUAACGGUUCAUUCAGUGUGAGCGUUAGAUGUGUUAAUAGAAGUCCGCGCUUGCCCUUGAUGAGCCCUUGAUGAAUGGUGGAAAUAGUUGACCCUGAAGGGCCAUGUCCCCAAAGGGGCAGCGAGGAGACCCAAAUCUCUGUGUCUGUGACUCUGAGGGCACCCUUAGCUACCUGGUCUUAUUUGCUGGCUUUAGGGGUCACAGGUGCAGCUCCUAAAACGAACUUUGUACAUCUUUUCCACAUUUCAGCAAAUCCUGAUUUGGGCCAAAAAAAAUAAUGGGCUAGGAUGUCUAACAGCUAUUUAGCAAUCUCCCUAUUUAGCAAAAGAAAGCCCCCAGACUGGGAGCCUUGGCCAGGGGAUAGAAAUUAGGUAAAAUUAAUGAGUUUAUUUUUUUAUAUAUAUAACGUUUUUUUUAGUUGUUCAUAAAAUGAAGUUGUACCUUCAUUUUAUUUUUAUGUGCUGCUGAGGAUCAACCCAGUACCUCAUGCAUGCUAGGCGAGCGCUCUUCCUCUGAGCCACAGCCCCAGCCCACAAGUUUGAAAAUUUAGAAUUACUAUGUUUGUAUGUGCAUGGUACUGACAUUAUAUUCACUAAAUAUACUCCAGACAUAGGGCAUAGAAAGCAGCACAAUGACUCUAAGAUUCCCACCACACACACACUGAGGACUGAACCUGGGGGGCUCUACCACUGAGCUACAUCACGAACCUUAUUAAUUUUUUUUUUUUUUUUGCGGGGGGAGUAUCAGGGGUUGAACUUGUGGGCACUCGGCCACUGACCACAUCCCUAGCCCUAUUUUAUUUAGAGAUAAGGUCUCACUGCCUAGUGUCUCACUGUUACUGAGGCUGGCUUUGAACUCUCGAUCCUCCACCUUCAGCCUCCCAAACCACUGGGAUUAUAGGCGUGGACCACUGCACCCAGCUUAUUUUUAAUUUUGAUGUAGGGUCCCCCUAAGUUGCUGAAGCGGGCCUGAAACUUGGGAUCUUCCUGCCUCGGCCUCCCUGGUUAAUGUUCACUUUUUUGUGUUUUGAUUCUGGGGAUUGAACCCAGGGUCAUGUGCAUGCGAGCUAUAUCCCCAGCCCUAAUGUUCACUUUUAAAAUAUAUAAAUAUAUAAAUGUAUGUGUUAAAAUGUGAGCUGAUCAAAAAGAAAGUCUGUGACAAGGUUUGUACACACCUCCCAUGGCUACCCUAGGCCAGGCAGGAUGAGGAACCAAGUGCCUCUCUCCUUCCAGUCUUGGUGGGAGGGGAGGGUGCCCAGAGGGGCCAUCCGAGGCCCUGGCAGCCCGCCUGCAGCACACACAUGCCUCCGUGCCAGGUUGCCCCUAGACUCCAGGUCCCCUGGGUUAUUACAGCCUGACUUCUCACCACCCGCCCAGCCCCAGGCAGCAUCCCCAACACAGAGCCUGAGGAAUUUUCUAAAGAUAAAGCCCACUUCCUGUCUCUUUCCCCAGUUAGCCUCCCAUGGCUCCCCGGCCUGCAGGAGAAAGACCCUGCUCUUCCCAGGGUGCUCUGAGUGUUCCCGAGCCAUCUGCGGUUGCCUGGAUAUUCGGUUGGUAAAUAUUUAAUGCACAGGAUUCCACACCAAAACCCUCAGGCUCAGCACUGGGGUAAAGCCCAGCAGGCCUGGUUCAUCCCAUGGAAUUUCCGGUGGGGGUGGAUUAAAUACAUAAGUGUAAAUUUAAAAAGAAGAAAAGUGCUACGAAGGGCCCAGCAGCACCCAGGGAGCUUUCACCCUUUGCCGGGAAGGCCCAGCCCAGCAGCCUCCUCUAGAGCUCUGCCUGGCCAUUCCUGUCAUCUUAGGUGCCCGAGGUGUUGUGGUUCCUCGGCUCUUAUCACAGGGGAUUGUGAUUUAUAAGCCUGUCCCCCAUGUUUGAGCUCCUCGAGGAAAGAGGCCGACUCUGGUGACCUGGGACGAUUCAGCUUUCAGUCCCUUGUUCAUUCACUCAUUUUCAUUCAUCCAUAAAUCAGAGGGGCCAGGGUCCCCUUCAUCUGCCAAACCCUGAUACUGAGUAGUAGAUUAAGAGGGUGAGCGCUGGGCUGGGGAUGUGGCUCAAGCGGUAGCGCACUCGCCUGGCAUGCGUGCGGCCCCGGGUUCCAUCCUCAGCACCACAUACAAACAAAGCUGUUGUGUCCGCCAAAGACUGAAAAAUAAAUAUUAAAAUUCUCUCUCUGUCUGUCCCCUCUCUUUCUUAAAAAAUAAAAAUAAAAGAGGGUGAGAGCUGUGCUGCAGCCACUAACAAGACCCCACCAGGUGACAGUUGGACAGGCCUCCUAGGUGUCAGAGUGGGAGAAAAGGAAUUUGAGGAAAGAGGCUGGAGCCAGUGCAGCCAGGUGUGUGGCAAGCGGCUGAGGAAGGGUGAGCUGCAGCCUGGUGGUCAGGGCCUCUGGCCGGCUCCGUUUCCUGCUGGUGGACAGAAGGCCGGAUGAAUGAUCUAAGGCAGCCGUGCCACUUCAAGGUUUUGUGACUGUGACUGGGAGUAAGAAAUACAUCACAUCACAACCUGGCACAAGGCUUAAAAUUGAAACAAAAGUUUCACAAGAUAAUUGAUAGUUUAUUCUUUUUUUUUUAACCUUUGUAUCAUUUAUUUAUUUAUACGUGGUGCUGAGGAUCGAACCCAGGGCCUCACACAUGCUAGGCAAGUGCUCCACCACUGAGCCACAGCCCUAGACCAGAUAGUUUAUUCUUACCCCAGAAUGCACUCUCAUCUCUUUUCUAUUUUAUCAUUAUCAUCACUACUAAAUUCUGAUUUAUUCAAUUUAAGUACUAACUUAAAUAAUUUCAAGAUCACUGGUGGUUCAUGAAAGCAUUAUCUACAUCAGUUUGAGGCCAGCCUCGGAGACUUAGCAAGGCCCUGAUUCAAAAUAAAAAAUAAAAAGCACUGGGAAUGUGGCUCAGUGGUAAGCGCCCUGGCUUCAGUUUCCUGGUAGAAAAAGAAAAGCAUUGACCCCAGUGUCUUUCCAGCCUUGAGCCUGUCUGCCUAGCAGGGACUGUGGGAAGCAGCCCGCCAGAGCAGGACAGGUCUACUGGCUUCCCCCACCAUGCACACCCCAGCCCCCAUCACCAGAAGUCCCCUGGCUGUAGACUCAGGAGACCAAGCUGAGGACAUUUCUUCUACCCUGUCUCUUCCCUGCCCUCUACGCCAAGCUCUGAGUCUCCACUGGACAAUCAGCUCCCUGGCCAGGUUGAAUCAGUGCCACCGACUUCUGGGAGUGGAGUCAGGUAGGUUGGGAAGAAGGAGGGGAGUUGAAGCCCUAACUGGGUUCUGAGUUCUGGAUUCUGAAUCUGUUCCUCCCCCAGGGGCAACUCCUCCCUUCCUGUGUAGGGGAUGGCUUUUUCCUGUGAUCGCCACCUGGCCUGCAGGCCUGGCUUCUUGGCUUAGCAGAGGGUGGAAAUGGUCAGAGUCCCUACCCUCAUGCCCAUCUAAGCCUCGUCCAAAUCUUUCUUCUGUCUGGAUUCUCAGAUUCUGGAGAGAUCGGAGAAACUUGGGGGUAGGAUAAGGGCACCUUGGGCUCCCAGAACAAUGGAGCCAGAAGAGUUCUUAAAAAUGGAAUCCAGCCAGGCGCGGUGGUGCACGCCUGUAAUCCCAGCUGCUGAGGAGGCUGAGGCAGGAGGAUGGAGAAUUCAAAGACAGCCUCAGCAAAAGCGAAGUGUUAAGCAGCUCAGCAAGACCCUGACUCUAAUAAAAUACAGGAUAGGACUGGGGAUGUG